UUUAUUUUUGAGAGAGACCUAGCUAUCAUGUUCAACAUCCUACAUGACGUCCCUUUCAACUUUCCUAGACUCAUUUACAGUCAUAUCUGUGAUCCCCCAGAAAAACCAAGAUUGAGUCUUCCAUAUGGUAUGCUCUUCACCCUGAUCUUUAGGGAAUUAGAGGUCCCUAUUCCUGAGGGGAAACCCUCUCGUUCACUUCGCUACACUGACCAUAUGGGCGAGGGGACUCUCCACCGAAUGAGAUUCCAUAAGGUGGAGGGUA
This 262-nucleotide long non-coding RNA is filed under the name Phoenix dactylifera (date palm). RNAcentral's name for it is "long non-coding RNA (PDAC_LNC021129)". The record is from RNAcentral. Lineage: Eukaryota; Viridiplantae; Streptophyta; Magnoliopsida; Arecales; Arecaceae.